ACCGUGAGGGAAAGGUGAAAAGCACCCCGGAAGGGGAGUGAAAUAGAACCUGAAACCGUGUGCUUACAAGUAGUCAGAGCCCGUUAAUGGGUGAUGGCGUGCCUUUUGUAGAAUGAACCGGCGAGUUACGAUUUGAUGCAAGGUUAAGCAGUAAAUGUGGAGCCGUAGCGAAAGCGAGUCUGAAUAGGGCGUUUAGUAUUUGGUCGUAGACCCGAAACCAGGUGAUCUACCCUUGGUCAGGUUGAAGUUCAGGUAACACUGAAUGGAGGACCGAACCGACUUACGUUGAAAAGUGAGCGGAUGAACUGAGGGUAGCGGAGAAAUUCCAAUCGAACCUGGAGAUAGCUGGUUCUCUCCGAAAUAGCUUUAGGGCUAGCCUCAAGUGAUGAUUAUUGGAGGUAGAGCACUGUUUGGACGAGGGGCCCCUCUCGGGUUACCGAAUUCAGACAAACUCCGAAUGCCAAUUAAUUUAACUUGGGAGUCAGAACAUGGGUGAUAAGGUCCGUGUUCGAAAGGGAAACAGCCCAGACCACCAGCUAAGGUCCCAAAAUAUAUGUUAAGUGGAAAAGGAUGUGGCGUUGCCCAGACAACUAGGAUGUUGGCUUAGAAGCAGCCAUCAUUUAAAGAGUGCGUAAUAGCUCACUAGUCGAGUGACACUGCGCCGAAAAUGUACCGGGGCUAAACAUAUUACCGAAGCUGUGGAUUGUCCUUUGGACAAUGGUAGGAGAGCGUUCUAAGGGCGUUGAAGCAUGAUCGUAAGGACAUGUGGAGCGCUUAGAAGUGAGAAUGCCGGUGUGAGUAGCGAAAGACGGGUGAGAAUCCCGUCCACCGAUUGACUAAGGUUUCCAGAGGAAGGCUCGUCCGCUCUGGGUUAGUCGGGUCCUAAGCUGAGGCCGACAGGCGUAGGCGAUGGAUAACAGGUUGAUAUUCCUGUACCACCUAUAAUCGUUUUAAUCGAUGGGGGGACGCAGUAGGAUAGGCGAAGCGUGCGAUUGGAUUGCACGUCUAAGCAGUAAGGCUGAGUAUUAGGCAAAUCCGGUACUCGUUAAGGCUGAGCUGUGAUGGGGAGAAGACAUUGUGUCUUCGAGUCGUUGAUUUCACACUGCCGAGAAAAGCCUCUAGAUAGAAAAUAGGUGCCCGUACCGCAAACCGACACAGGUAGUCAAGAUGAGAAUUCUAAGGUGAGCGAGCGAACUCUCGUUAAGGAACUCGGCAAAAUGACCCCGUAACUUCGGGAGAAGGGGUGCUCUUUAGGGUUAACGCCCAGAAGAGCCGCAGUGAAUAGGCCCAAGCGACUGUUUAUCAAAAACACAGGUCUCUGCUAAACCGUAAGGUGAUGUAUAGGGGCUGACGCCUGCCCGGUGCUGGAAGGUUAAGAGGAGUGGUUAGCUUCUGCGAAGCUACGAAUCGAAGCCCCAGUAAACGGCGGCCGUAA
Molecule: ribosomal RNA, 1435 nt
Filed under: Staphylococcus aureus
Lineage: Bacteria; Bacillati; Bacillota; Bacilli; Caryophanales; Staphylococcaceae
Description: bacterial LSU rRNA
Rfam family: Bacterial large subunit ribosomal RNA
Source: RNAcentral